GAUGAAGAACGUAGCGAAUUGCGAUAAGUAAUGUGAAUUGCAGAAUUCAGUGAAUCAUCGAAUCUUUGAACGCACCUUGCGCCCUUUGGCUAUUCCGAAGGGCAUGCCUGUUUGAGUAUCAUGAACACCUCAACUCUCAUGGUUUGCCAUGAUGAGCUUGGACUUUGGGGGUCUUGCCGGCCUAUGGGUCGGCUCCUCUCAAAUUAAUCAGCUUGCCAGUGUUUGGUGGCAUCACAGGUGUGAUAACUAUCUACGCUUGUGGUUUUCCAUCAGGUAACCUUCAGUGAUGGAGGUUCGCUGGGGCUCAUAAAUGUCUCUCCUCAGUGAGGACAGCUUUUUUGAACGUUUGAUCUCAAAUCAGGUAGGACUACCCGCUGAACUUAAGCAUAUCAAUAAGCGGAGA
Molecule: unclassified non-coding RNA, 403 nt
Filed under: soil metagenome
Description: partial contains 5.8S ribosomal RNA, internal transcribed spacer 2, and large subunit ribosomal RNA
Rfam family: 5.8S ribosomal RNA (bases 1-121)
Source: RNAcentral